RNAcentral lists this ribosomal RNA (460 nucleotides) under uncultured bacterium. RNAcentral's name for it is "partial 16S ribosomal RNA". It matches the Rfam family "Bacterial small subunit ribosomal RNA", at positions 338 to 795 of the family's 1533-position model. The record is from RNAcentral.
CCUACGGGUGGCAGCAGUGAGGAAUAUUGGUCAAUGGACGCAAGUCUGAACCAGCCAUGCCGCGUGCAGGAAGACGGCUCUAUGAGUUGUAAACUGCUUUUGUACGGGGGUAAACGCAGAUACGCGUAUCAGUCUGAAAGUAUAGUAAGAAUAAGGAUGGGCUAACUCCGUGCCAGCAGCCGGGGUAAUACGGAGGAUUCAAGCGUUAUCCGGAUUUAGUGGGUGUAAAGGGUGCGUAGGCGGUCGGAUAAGUUAGAGGUGAAAUCCCGAGGCUCAACUUCGGAAUUGCCUCUGAUACUGCUCGGCUAGAGAGUAGUUGCGGUAGGCGGAAUGUAUGGUGUAGCGGUGAAAUGCGUAGAGAUUAUACAGAACACCGAUGGCGAAGGCAGCUUACCAAGCUACUACUGACGUUGAGGCACGAAAGCGUGGGGAGCAAACAGGAUUAGAUACCCGAGUAGUC